This 84-nucleotide microRNA precursor is filed under the name Echinococcus granulosus. RNAcentral's name for it is "microRNA egr-mir-10290 precursor". Lineage: Eukaryota; Metazoa; Platyhelminthes; Cestoda; Cyclophyllidea; Taeniidae. The record is from miRBase by way of RNAcentral.
AGGUACUAGGGCUACUGGCAUGGCCUGAAGGCUAGCCCACCCGGUGUGGUACAAUGGCCGAGCCAAAAGUGGUUCUUUACCUAA